UACUCCUACGGGGAGGCAGCAGUGGGGAAUAUUGCACAAUGGGCGCAAGCCUGAUGCAGCCAUGCCGCGUGUAUGAAGAAGGCCUUCGGGUUGUAAAGUACUUUCAGCGGGGAGGAAGGCGAUGGGGUUAAUAACCCUGUCGAUUGACGUUACCCGCAGAAGAAGCACCGGCUAACUCCGUGCCAGCAGCCGCGGUAAUACGGAGGGUGCAAGCGUUAAUCGGAAUUACUGGGCGUAAAGCGCACGCAGGCGGUCUGUUAAGUCAGAUGUGAAAUCCCCGGGCUUAACCUGGGAACUGCAUUUGAAACUGGCAGGCUUGAGUCUUGUAGAGGGGGGUAGAAUUCCAGGUGUAGCGGUGAAAUGCGUAGAGAUCUGGAGGAAUACCGGUGGCGAAGGCGGCCCCCUGGACAAAGACUGACGCUCA
RNAcentral lists this ribosomal RNA (424 nucleotides) under Pantoea sp. Its description in RNAcentral is "bacterial SSU rRNA". It matches the Rfam family "Bacterial small subunit ribosomal RNA", at positions 334 to 749 of the family's 1533-position model. The record is from RNAcentral. Lineage: Bacteria; Pseudomonadati; Pseudomonadota; Gammaproteobacteria; Enterobacterales; Erwiniaceae.